AUUGAACGCUGGCGGCAGGCCUAACACAUGCAAGUCGAACGGUAGCACAGAGAGCUUGCUCUCGGGUGACGAGUGGCGGACGGGUGAGUAAUGUCUGGGAAACUGCCCGAUGGAGGGGGAUAACUACUGGAAACGGUAGCUAAUACCGCAUAACGUCGCAAGACCAAAGAGGGGGGACCUUCGGGCCUCUUGCCAUCGGGUGUGCCCAGGUGGGAUUAGCUUGUAGGUGAGGUAACGG
RNAcentral lists this ribosomal RNA (238 nucleotides) under uncultured bacterium. RNAcentral's name for it is "partial 16S ribosomal RNA". It matches the Rfam family "Bacterial small subunit ribosomal RNA", at positions 30 to 263 of the family's 1533-position model. The record is from RNAcentral.